UACGGAGGAUGCAAGCGUUGUCCGGAUUUACUGGGUGUAAAGGGCGUGUAGCCGGGCUGACAAGUCAGAUGUGAAAUCCGGGGGCUCAACCCCCGAACUGCAUUUGAAACUGUUGGUCUUGAGUAUCGGAGAGGCAGGCGGAAUUCCUAGUGUAGCGGUGAAAUGCGUAGAUAUUAGGAGGAACACCAGUGGCGAAGGCGGCCUGCUGGACGACAACUGACGGUGAGGCGCGAAAGCGUGGGGAGCAAACAGG
RNAcentral lists this ribosomal RNA (253 nucleotides) under uncultured bacterium. Its description in RNAcentral is "partial 16S ribosomal RNA". It matches the Rfam family "Bacterial small subunit ribosomal RNA", at positions 524 to 776 of the family's 1533-position model. The record is from RNAcentral.